Nylanderia fulva is the source of this 1177-nucleotide long non-coding RNA. RefSeq lists it as uncharacterized. The record is from RefSeq and is a predicted model, not a curated record. NCBI's taxonomy places the organism in Eukaryota, Metazoa, Arthropoda, Insecta, Hymenoptera, Formicidae.
GAAGAGAUCUUCGUGAGGCAAUACCGAUGUUAUUACAACGCAAUUCUGGGUAGAAUAGGAACAGCCUUUGAUCAAUUUCGCACAACAAUGCUGAUCUAUAAUAACAAUGCCGAUCUAUAAUAACAAUGUGUUCCUGCUUGUACAGUCUAGUGAGCAUAGCAUUGAAGCAGUCUAGUUCUGGUAAACGAAACAACUCCCAGCGCAGCUUACGAUCCAGAGCUGCAGAAGCUCUACUGUACACGUACAGCCAGUGUGGUAUCUCCUCGUUCAAAUAGGGAUUAGCUGGCACGAGCACGCUGUGAGAAUGAAAGUGCGUGUGUCGAGGUGGUGACACGACGCGCACCGCUUGUAUCUCGUGAGGAUAACACGGAUGUAAAUCGCUCACUUGACGUAAUAAAUUCCAUAUUCAGGCGACUCUAUUCUUUCCCAGCCUGUGGGUAGGCCCUCCUUUUCGAGCGGAUGCGACCAAUGCGUGGUUUUGGUGUUGUGAUCGAUGUAAUAUUUCCGGCCACGAAGUGUGAAGUCAAUGGACCAUCCUGGUGGUAAGGGCAGUUCUUCCUGCUGCUGCUCGCUUCGAGAACUCGAUCUCUCUGAAUGGCAUCUGCUGUAACUUGAAUCCAGAAAUCGAGGUUCAUUAAAAUAGGGAUACUUUCGGAUAUAAAUUGACAUCUCAAAUGAUGGAUGAAUUGAUACACUUUACGACAUUAAUAUAAUAUUUAAAAGAAUCUUACCCAGCAUUUUGAUGAUACAUAGAGUGAUUGUAAUCUUCAUAACCGGUUGAAUCGAUGUCGAAAGGCAUAUAAGGCAUUUGUGGUGUCUGAACUCUGUCCAAUUGAUAUUCAGAUCCAGCGUACUGAUUCAUAUAAGUGUGGGACAUUGCAGGCGACAAUUCAGGAUGGUACAUAGGUGUCGCAGUUCUCGAAAACAUGCUGUCAUUUAUUCCCGUAUUAACAGAAAGACUGGCAAAUCUACAGUGAGGAUAAGGAUGAAAACAUCGAGGGAAAAAAUAUGUUAAAAUGUUCAAACCGAUAAAAUAUUUGUUUCAUUUUUUAAUAUUGGUUUUAUUUUAUAAAAUAUUUUUACUCAAAUCGUAAUAGUAUAUAUAGUGCAUACUUGUAUGAAAGAAUUGUUUCACAAAAUAGAAUUAAACAUAAUAAAUAAUCUAAAUAAUUAUUAA